Cervus elaphus (red deer) is the source of this 161-nucleotide long non-coding RNA. RefSeq lists it as uncharacterized. NCBI's taxonomy places the organism in Eukaryota, Metazoa, Chordata, Mammalia, Artiodactyla, Cervidae. The record is from RefSeq and is a predicted model, not a curated record. The transcript has 3 exons.
GGAUGACAUCAGCGGUGACUUGGCCCAGCCCUGUGCCAGCUGCUGAAUUUGAACUAGGUCGUUCUGGGAGAUUGGAAAAGGAAACAGAAGAGCUGAAGUGGGAAGGUGGAGAAGUUUAUGACAUGAUGACCCAGACUGUACUCAGGACUUGAGCUGCCGCA